Molecule: long non-coding RNA, 330 nt
Organism: Sinocyclocheilus grahami
Lineage: Eukaryota; Metazoa; Chordata; Actinopteri; Cypriniformes; Cyprinidae
Exons: 3
Source: RefSeq, a predicted model, not a curated record
AUUCUGAUAAGACAUCUUGUGCUGUGCCUGACGGUUGUGGAAUAUGAAUUUCAACAAGAGCAAUGGUGACCAAAAGGUUCGCAACAAUUACCUCAGUGCCUCAGGCUCCUUUUAAAGUUCCUUCUUGCCCAGCUGACCAUAAUACAAACUGUCUUGGCUGCAAUUAUGAAAAAAAACUAUGGAAGCCUGCUUCUGGAAUCCUCGUUUUUCUAACCUCAAUGGUUCAUGGAUUUGCAUGUAAACAGGUUAUAAUGAGAUAUUUUUUGUCUGCCAUACAAUAUUUAAAACUGUAUGGCCUGGUUUCACAGACAGGGUUUACGUAAAGCCAGG